UACAGAGGGUGCGAGCGUUGUUCGGAAUUAUUGGGCGUAAAGCGCUUGUAGGCGGCACGUCAAGUCGCGUGUGAAAUCCCCAGGCUUAACCUGGGAAGUGCGCGCGAAACUGACGAGCUUGAGUGCCGGAGAGGGUCGCGGAAUUCCCGGUGUAGAGGUGAAAUUCGUAGAUAUGCGGAGGAACACCGGUGGCGAAGGCGGCCAUCUGGACGACUACUGACGCUGAGACGCGAAAGCGUGGGGAGCAAACAGG
Molecule: ribosomal RNA, 253 nt
Filed under: uncultured bacterium
Lineage: Bacteria
Description: partial 16S ribosomal RNA
Rfam family: Bacterial small subunit ribosomal RNA
Source: RNAcentral